Molecule: ribosomal RNA, 829 nt
Filed under: Sphingobacterium multivorum
Lineage: Bacteria; Pseudomonadati; Bacteroidota; Sphingobacteriia; Sphingobacteriales; Sphingobacteriaceae
Description: bacterial SSU rRNA
Rfam family: Bacterial small subunit ribosomal RNA
Source: RNAcentral
AGUCGGACGCGGUCCAUCGCGAUAGCUUGCUCGAAGAUGGUGAGAGUGGCGCACGUUUUUGUAACGCGUGAGCAACCUACCUCUAUCAGGGGGAUAGCCUCUCGAAAGAGAGAUUAACACCGCAUAACGUCAACAGUUCGCAUGUUCAGUUGAUUAAAUAUUUAUAGGAUAGAGAUGGGCUCUCGUGACAUUAUCUAGUUGGUAGGGUAACGGCUUACCAAGGCAACUAUGUCUACGGGCUCUGAAAGGACAAUCCCCCACACUGGUACUGACACACUGACCAGACUCCUACGGGAGGCAGCAUUAAGGAAUAUUGGUCAAUGGGCGGAAGCCUGAACCAUCCGUGCCGCGUGCAGGAUGACUGCCCUAUGGGUUGUAAACUGCUUUUGUCCAGGAAUAAACCUCUUUACUAGUAUAUAGCUGAAUGUACUGGAAGAAUAAGGAUCGGCUAACUCCGUGCCAGCAGCCGCGGUAAUACGGAGGAUCCGAGCGUUAUCCGGAUUUAUUGGGUUUAAAGGGUGCGUAGGCGGCCUAUUUACUCUGGGGUGAAAUACGGUGGCUCAACCAUCGCAGUGCCUUUGAUACUGAUGUGCUUGAAUCCAUUUGAAGUGGACGGAAUAAGACAAGUAGCGGUGAAAUGCAUAGAUAUGUCUUAGAACUCCGAUUGCGAACGCAGCUCACUAAGCUGGUAUUGACGCUGAUGCACGAAAGCGUGGGGAUCGAACAGGAUUAGAUACCCUGGUAAUCCACGCCCUAAACGAUGAUAACUCGAUGUUGGCGAUAGACUGCCAGCGUUCCAAGCGAAAGCGUUAAGUUAUCCACCUGGGGG